UACAGAGGUCUCGAGCGUUAGGCGGAAUCACUGGGCUUAAAGCGUGCGUAGGCGGAUUGGUAAGUACCUUGUGAAAUCCCACGGCUUAACCGUGGAACUGCUUGGUAUACUGCCUGUCUUGAGCCAGCUAGGGGCGACCGGAACAAAUGGUGGAGCGGUGAAAUGCGUAGAUAUCAUUUGGAACGCCAAUGGUGAAAACAGGUCGCUGGGGCUGUGCUGACGCUGAGACACGAAAGCCAGGGGAGCAAACGGG
RNAcentral lists this ribosomal RNA (253 nucleotides) under uncultured bacterium. Its description in RNAcentral is "partial 16S ribosomal RNA". It matches the Rfam family "Bacterial small subunit ribosomal RNA", at positions 524 to 776 of the family's 1533-position model. The record is from RNAcentral.